GUGAAUCAUCGAAUCUUUGAACGCAAAUUGCACUCUCUGGUAUUCCGGAGAGUAUGCCUGUUUGAGGGUCAGUUUAAAUAACAAUCGGUGUGGUUGCUGCCUUUCGUGGUGACGCCUCGGUUUGGGGUCGUCCUGCCUUCGGUUAAGUGACCUACAAUUUUGCAUGAUUUUUUCGAACGAAUUUAAAUGAUUUUACGUACGUUUGCGAUAGCGAU
RNAcentral lists this unclassified non-coding RNA (215 nucleotides) under Glomus sp. Its description in RNAcentral is "partial contains 5.8S ribosomal RNA and internal transcribed spacer 2". The stretch from base 1 to 71 matches the Rfam family "5.8S ribosomal RNA", at positions 84 to 154 of the family's 154-position model. The record is from RNAcentral. Lineage: Eukaryota; Fungi; Glomeromycota; Glomeromycetes; Glomerales; Glomeraceae.